This 1031-nucleotide unclassified non-coding RNA is filed under the name Hevea brasiliensis (rubber tree). Lineage: Eukaryota; Viridiplantae; Streptophyta; Magnoliopsida; Malpighiales; Euphorbiaceae. The record is from RNAcentral.
GAAUUCUAUAUGACCACAACUUGGUAACAAUAUAGAUCAUUUUGCAUCAAGAUUCCCUUCAGCUUGACCAUGGACUUGGAGCUUUUGUGUCUUAUGCAUGAUCACAGAAAGCCUCUGGCUGAUGAUGCUUGGAUCACUAUAUGCUGCAGAAUCAGAAGGAUAACCUUUAGCAGAGAUAGACUGAAAGGUGGCUUCUCUCCAGCAGCUUUCUCGAAGAAUGACAGGGCCAGUGCAAUCACCAAAAGCGCAAUGCAUGCGAGUGUCCCUUAAUCUCAUCAAGACUCCGUCAACUCUAAGCCAGAAUCGCAACAGAAGAAACCAACAACUGGGCAUGACUCUCACUUUCACAGUUAAAAGGGACACUCCAUUAUCAGCAAGUUCAUCUUCAUACAAGACUACCUCAUCAUAGAAAAGAAUAGGCUCUUUUGAUGACAGGGAAACCACAUCAAUUUGCUCCUUGCAGUCCCCCCAACAGAGGCUUGAGCUUGUCUCCAAGAUUUCCCCACUUUCAUUCUUCUUGGAGUCUACCUCGAUUGUUUCACUUCCACAAUAUGGUGUAGUGAAUGUAUAGUCGUAAUCUAGUAUCACCUGCUGGGACGGUUUGCUUCUGAAUUUCCAUUUUUCGGCCGCAGGAACUUCUACUGGUGGCAAAGCUUCCUGCUUCCAGCCAGUAAGGGCAUCAAAUGCAUUGAAAUAGAUUUUGGUGCCACUAUUCUCAUGUUUAAGAACUAAAGAACUGUCCCCAAAAACCAUCUCUGGUAAGUGAGAUGUCAGAAGCUUUUGUUCCCAUUGUAGAAGAGUGGAGGAGUUGAGAAUGGAGCCCUUGCUGGAAAAGAUCUCCCAGCCAUGGAUACGCAGUCCACGGCGACCGUCAUCAGUCAACAGCUCGGCGCCGGCAGCUUUCAGGUCCUUCUCGUCGACUUCCACUGCCAUGUUCGUGAGCUUCUUCGUUUACUUUUCGAAAAUUACCGAUUACAACGGUUCCCCGUUUUUUAUCUCGUUUUUGUCUUCGCGUCUUCCUUCGGUUUCUG